Molecule: ribosomal RNA, 459 nt
Filed under: uncultured bacterium
Lineage: Bacteria
Description: partial 16S ribosomal RNA
Rfam family: Bacterial small subunit ribosomal RNA
Source: RNAcentral
CCUACGGGUGGCAGCAGUGAGGAAUAUUGGUCAAUGGUCGGGAGACUGAACCAGCCAAGCCGCGUGAGGGAUGAAGGUACAGAGUAUCGUAAACCUCUUUUGUCAGGGAACAAAGGCGGGGACGCGUCCCCGGAUGAGUGUACCUGAAGAAAAAGCAUCGGCUAACUCCGUGCCAGCAGCCGCGGUAAUACGGAGGAUGCGAGCGUUAUCCGGAUUUAUUGGGUUUAAAGGGUGCGCAGGCGGUCUGGUAAGUCAGCGGUAAAAGCCCGGGGCCAACCCCCGGCCCGCCGUUGAAACUGGCAGUCUCGAGUUGGAGAGAAGUAUGCGGAAUGCGCGGUGUAGCGGUGAAAUGCAUAGAUAUCGCGCAGAACUCCGAUUGCGAAGGCAGCAUGCCGGCUCCACACUGACGCUGAGGCACGAAAGCGUGGGUAUCGAACAGGAUUAGAUACCCCAGUAGUC